This 253-nucleotide ribosomal RNA is filed under the name uncultured bacterium. RNAcentral describes it as "partial 16S ribosomal RNA". It matches the Rfam family "Bacterial small subunit ribosomal RNA", at positions 524 to 776 of the family's 1533-position model. The record is from RNAcentral.
UACGGAGGGGGCUAGCGUUGUUCGGAAUUACUGGGCGUAAAGCGCACGUAGGCGGCUUUGUAAGUUAGAGGUGAAAGCCCAGGGCUUAACCCUGGAAUUGCCUUUAAGACUGCAUCGCUCGAAUUGUGGAGAGGUGAGUGGAAUUCCGAGUGUAGAGGUGAAAUUCGUAGAUAUUCGGAAGAACACCGGUGGCGAAGGCGGCCCGCUGGGCAACUGCUGACACUGAUGCGCGACAGCGUGGGGAGCAAACAGG